This 252-nucleotide ribosomal RNA is filed under the name uncultured bacterium. RNAcentral's name for it is "partial 16S ribosomal RNA". It matches the Rfam family "Bacterial small subunit ribosomal RNA", at positions 526 to 776 of the family's 1533-position model. The record is from RNAcentral.
CGGGGGGAGCAAGCGUUGUUCGGAUUUACUGGGCGUAAAGGGCGCGUAGGCGGUCAGCACAAGUCAGUUGUGAAAUCUCCGGGCUUAACUCGGAAAGGUCAACUGAUACUGUGCGACUAGAGUGCGGAAGGGGCAACUGGAAUUCUCGGUGUAGCGGUGAAAUGCGUAGAUAUCGAGAGGAACACCUGCGGCGAAGGCGGGUUGCUGGGCCGGUCCUGACGCUGAGACGCGAAGGCGUGGGGAGCGAACGGG